GACGAACGCUGGCGGCGCGCUUAACACAUGCAAGUCGAACGGAAAGGCCUGCUUUCCCUUGUGGAUUGCGGGUACUCGAGUGGCGAACGGGUGAGUAACACGUGAGUGAUCUGCCCCCAACUUGGGUAUAAGCCUGGGAAACUGGGUCUAAUUCCCGAUAGGACUGCAGGGUGGUGCCUGUGGUGGAAAACGAUUUUCUAGUGGUUGGGGAUGAGCUCGCGGCCUAUCAGCUUGUUGGUGGGGUAAUGGCCUACCAAGGCGGCGACGGGUAGCCGGCCUGAGAGGGUGGACGGCCACAUUGGGACUGAGAUACGGCCCAGACUCCUACGGGAGGCAGCAGUGGGGAAUAUGGCACAAUGGGCGGAAGCCUGAUGCAGCGACGCCGCGUGGGGGAUGACGGCCUUCGGGUGGUAAACUCCUUUCGACCGCGAGGAAGCCACCUGGUUGGAAGGGUGGUGACGGUAGUGGUAGAAGAAGCACCGGCUAACUACGUG
Molecule: ribosomal RNA, 494 nt
Filed under: uncultured bacterium
Lineage: Bacteria
Description: partial 16S ribosomal RNA
Rfam family: Bacterial small subunit ribosomal RNA
Source: RNAcentral